AUUAGCUAGCCAAUGACUCCAUCUCAAGGAUUGUUGACAUUUUUUAUGGCACCAUGUUGUCGCAUAUCUUGUAAAUAAAAGAGUGCACAAAUAAAGGAAAUGGAACAUUAUAUUACUGAUAGUAGAAACAUAAAAGAUAAAAUCAAGAACACUGAUACAACUCGGCAAUCAUGCAACAGGCUGCACCCGAGCCCAUGUUGACGAACUCAAUAUCGAGAGGCAUCGCACAUGAUGAAGCAGCACAAAGGUUGUCACAUCCCUAGUUCUUGUAUGACCUAGACUAGCUAGUCAUGUGUGCAUCAUGUUUAAAUUUCAAUGAAUUUGAAAUGGGGACAUGUGAAAGCCUCAGAAAUCAUUUCUGAAAAUGACCAAGAUAAAAAUUUCUUCAAAUAGGUCCAAGAAAAUGUUCAUGUUUCUCCCUGAAUAUAUUGGCCAGAGGUAAAAUUCAAACCAAUAAUUUUAGGAGCUCAUAAAUAUUUAUGUUGGGCAUUUGGAUUUAAUGCAACAACUAUUUUGCAUUGGAUUUAUAUUUGCUAUAUAUUUAAAAUAAGUCCAAUAAUUCUGUAAAUUUGUGUGGGGCUCUGGAAUAGCUCAACUAGCCCACACAAUAUUUAUCAGAAGCAGUAAAUUUGAUUUGGUUUGAAAACUAAAUCAAAAACAAAUUACAGAAAAUAGAAAACAAACAAAAAAUAUAAAACAGAGCACAAGGACUUACCUCCACCCACCUACGGCCCGCUACUGUAGCCUGCUGGCAGCCCAGCUGGCGGCCCAGCCCACCAGCGCCCCCUUGUCAUCUUCCUCCUCUGCCAGGAGGACAACCAGGUGCGUGGCGAGUGUCGACGCUGCUCUGGCCACCUCCUGCUUCCCCGGCCCCUUCUAGCGACGCCACGGAGAUGCCCCGAAGCCCCUGUCCCCUCUCCCUCACUCGCCGCUCUCUCUCCCCUCCACUGGCUCUCUCCCUUUAGCUCACUCGAGCGAAGCAGUCGCCGCCGACCAGCGCUCGUGCGGCCACAGCCACCCCCUUGCUCCCCUGAUGCGUCCGAGAGCUCUGCCACGUCGUCCUCAUCUUCUUCACUGAGUCACAGGAGCUGGGUCGCCCUGUGAUGCCGCCAACAUCAUCUUCUUCCUCACCGGUCGCUGGAGAUCCUCCUUGCCGCCCCGACUGCUCCGGACCGUCUCCGAGCUCGCUGACCUCCUCGUCUGACUAGCCGUGAGCCUCUGACCCUGCCCAUCCCUCUCUUCUUCCCUAUAGGCCUCUGUAGCCACCGGACCGCAUACGCCCGAACCCGCCGCCGCCUGCGCUCGCCGCCGACGCGACUCCGACGACCAAAUGGUCCGCCCGACACGUCCAACCCACUCACCGCAUCGCGUAGGCCCCCGCUAGCACCUCAGCUCACUAGCUCGCGCACUGUAGCACUGCCCGCACCCACGCCUGAACUCCGGUGGCUGCAACCGAGCUCGCCGUCGUCGGCUCCGGCCACCAUAGGCCCGGUCUCCACCAUCACCCGAUGGGCGCCUGCAAGAGCUCUCCAACGAGCCCAAGAACGGCCUCGUCCGUGCCCUGUGGGCGUUUUCCGAGCCGCGUCGCCGUCUCGGGCCUCGCCGGCGUCGAGUCGUCGGUAGGUUUGACCUGUUCGACUGGGGUUUGACCUCCCUAGGGUCAACACACGUGGGCCCCGCCCUGACUAGAUUAGUUUAGGACUAAUUACCUCACCGCUGACUCUGACAGUGGGCCCAGUGGUUGUUAAUUUGAUUAGUUAGAUUUAAUUAACCCUGUUAGUUAAUUGUGUCACUGACGUGUCGACCCCACUGGUCAGGUUUGACCUGGACCGGGUCAGUUGACCUGCUGACAUCACAGUGACGUAGUGCUGACACCAUAACUCAUUUUCUGGAUUAAUUAUAAUUCAUAAAAUUCCAGAAAAUAGUUAAAACUUCUAAAAUUCAUAGUAAAUCAACCGUAGCUCCAAAUCAAAUAAAUUAUAUAUGAAAAAUGAUCAGAAAAAUCCAAUAUAUCCAUUUGUACUAGUUUCAUGCAUGUUGGAACAACUUAUGGCUGCUGUUUAGGCCAAAUCAUAUAAAUGGCAUUUAAACCCUCACAUAUGGAGUUUGAAUUUGAACCUAAGAUUCAAACCAACUCCAUUUAACAUGUUCCUAGUUACAUUAGCUCAAAACACAGCAUAUUGACAUGCCAUGAUCAUGCAUCAUAUUGUGCAUUGCAUUGAUUGUGUUUUCCUUCUUUGUUGCCGGUAUUUGUCCCCUCUCGAUAGACGUGGUUCCGACGAUGAGUUCGAUGACACUGAUGAAGAGAUAUACUAUCUUCGGAAGUGGCAGGCAAGCAAAACCCCCCUUGUUCAUUCCGAUACAAUCCCACUUUCUCGUUCCUUCUCUCUUUUACUGCAUUAGGACAACAACGAUUCAUCUGUUACUUGCUGCGGUAGUUGAACCCCUUAUCCUCUACAUGACCUGUCAUUUCCACAGUAAAUAGAUGAAACCCACUAGCAUGAGUAGGAGUUGUUUGAGCCCUGAUGUGCCUACUCAUUCAUGCUUGUUUGUCAUGCCUGCUAUUGGUUAGAGUUGUGUCAGGUCUGAUUCAUCGGGGAUGAAUUGGAAAGUUGUGAACAUGUCCUACUGUGUGUGAGCUAAGUGUGUUGAACACGAUUUGGUAAAGGUAUCGAUGAGAGGCCAUGUAGGAGUACAUGGUGGGUUGUUUCAUUGAAGCCGUCCUUAGGAACUGAGUUCUGUGUUUGUGAUCCAUGAAACAACUACUACCACACAUUGGGCCCUGAAAUAUGACCCCGCUCGACUUACUGACCCCUCUCGUCCUUUGUCCAGGAGUUGCAACUAGUUUCUGGUGUUUAUAGGAUAUGUGUUGGCGGCCGUGCGUAGCACUGACCCUAGGGGUGGGCUAUGAUGCGGUAGAUACACCAUGGCACGGUGUACCGGGCGCCCAUUUGGUGUCUCGGGAACCCUGCACACAUCGUUUGGGGCUGUGAGCGAAACUCCGGUCGGAUCUCCUCGCAGAUGGAACCCGAAUAGGCGAUAAACCUGGACUAGAGACUUGUGCGGUUAGUCAGGUCGUGGUCUACACCCACGUCGGCUUUCGCUUGAAGUCUGCCGAGCACAUGUCAUGUGGAGACACUAAGUGGUGGAAACAUGUGUGACGAAGUACACCCCUGCAGGAUAUAAAACUAUUCGAAUAGCCGCGUCCGCGGUAAAGGACUUCUGGGUUGCCUAUAACAGUUCAUAGACAAGUGAAAGUGGAUACUCUAAAACUCGCAAGAUAAGUGUGAGUGUUAUGGAUGGCCUUCUCGUAGGGAGACGGGAGCAGAUCCAUAGUGGUGUAUUGAAUGGUGAAUAUGUGGACUCGUGUGCGCCACCUCAAAAGCGUUGCUGGCAGUCGUAGUUCCGGUUAGCCACUGAGUCAAAGCUGGCUUGGUGCAGUUAAACUCCACCACCGCCCACCUCCCUUGUUGAUACCGAUGCAUAUGUAGCUAGUUCUGAUGUAAGUCUUGCUGAGUACUUUUGUACUCACAUUUUCUUAAUUUAUGUUUUGCAGAGAGACUUCAGUCUCGCUAGUAGUAUCGCAUGGACUUCGACGUUUAGCCUGAUACCUCAGCUACGAUCUUGUGCCCUCGGUAGGAUCUGGUAGAUAGUCAGGCUUCUCAACCUUUUUCAUUUGUAGAUGUCUGAACUCAGACAUGUUAAGCUUCUGCAUGUGCUUGAAUUGUAUGCUAUGAUUGUUGGGUCAUGAGACCCAUGUUUGUAAUAUCUCGCUCCUUAGAGCCUAAUGAAUAAAUACUUGAGUCGUAGAGUUAUGUUGUGAUGCCAUGUUGUAUUUACACAUAUCGAGCAUAUUGUGUGUAUGAUUGAAAUGCUCGGAAUGUGUGGGAUCCGACAAUCUAGUUGUUUAUCCUUGGCAGCCUCUCUUAUGGGGAAAUGUAGUCUAGUGCUUCCAUGAGCCAUAGUAGUCCGCUACAGCCCGGUUCACCGGAGUCCUGCUAGCCCAGCACUACUUCUCAGGACACUUGACUGGCCGGCAUGUGUUUCACUUCGUUCCUAUGUAUGUCCCUUCGGGGAAAUGUCACGUGGUGACUUCCGGAGUCUUGCCUAGCCUGCUACAGCCCGGGUUCCCCGGAGUCCUGUUAGCCCGGUGCUACAGCCCGGAUUCACUCGCUGAUGACCGACAUGCUUGAUGUGAUUCAUGUAUGCCUGUCCCCAUACGUCUGUGCCGCUUUGGUUCACGACUAGCUAUGUUGGCCCGGGUUCUCUGUCAUAUGGAUGCUAGCGACACUAUCAUAUACGUGAGCCAAAAGGCGCAAACGGUCCCGGGCCAUGGUAAUGCGACACUCGUGGGGAUACCGUGCGUGAGGCCGCAAUGUGAUAUGAGGUGUUACUGGCUAGAUCGAUGUGACUUGGAAUCGGGGUCCUGACAGCGUUGGUAUCAGAGCCUGACUGCCUGUAGGAUUACCAAGCCAAACUGGUCGAAGUUGAGUCUAGAAAUGCUUUAGUUAUGUAAGGGAAUUGAUUGUGGAAGGGAACGUGAGGCUCUUUUUACUCCUUUACCUUAUGCCCUUCUGAUCUGAGUCAACCUCUUCUUUUCUACGGGGGUUAAGAACUAGGCUUCCCUUCUAUCUCUCAGGAUGACGUGUUACUAAACCGUAGUUGCCUAGGAUUGUUGAGUUCAAGCCUCAGUUCAGUUCCUACUACUUUCAUAUGUCAUAGCUGGCCUCAGAACUUUGAUAUUGUGAUGUUGAGUGGUCAUGCCACCAUUUUGCAGGAUGUCUCAAAUCAUUUUGAGCAUUUACAGCCGUUAUGGUGUCCGAGUCAUCCUAGGUUUCUAGAUAGUCUGAUGCACUUGCAAAUCUUUCCUCCAUGUCCCCGUUGUAUUUUUGGGCCAGAUUAAGCACACUAAUCGGUGUGUUGAGGUACUCCGUUGCCUUGACGUGUAUGUCAGAGUUAUUAUUAUGACCCUAGGUGUUUCAGGGAGUCACCUAGUGAUCUAGCCAUGUUUUGUAUCCCCAGUGUGUGAUUCUGGCCAUUAUUCUCGAAAGCCUCCCGUGAUGCCAUGUAGUGGUAGGUAUUCUAUUCAUGGGUUCUUGAACCCGAGAUUCACCCUACUUACCUCAUGUUGAUAGUGUUUGAUAGUUCCUUUAGGAUAUUAGUAACCUUUGCGAUAGUCCUCGAGGUCUAUGGUACAACGUUAUUCCAAUACAAUGAACCAAUAUGGCAGGAGUUCUCUUGAACCAAAAGAUCACAACAUGAGUGCUCUUGAUGAGUUCUCCAUUUUAUAUUGUGACUCUGCCAGCUCAACCUUUCUGCAUGGGUUAUCCGGAAGAAAUAUGUUGAACUUGGUUCGACAUGCUAAUCUAUGCAUCCACAACUCAGAAAGUUAUAUGUUCUUUGAGUUAUCCCUCUUUAGUUGUCUUUUGACCUCGUCUAUCAAUUGAUAGUCAUGAGUGGUUGUGCAUUCGUGUUCAUGGUGCUUACUACUCUUGUGGUCCGUCAAGCCAUUUUGUUCGGAAUGACUAGGAGAAACAAACUCCAGUACCUCAUCCGUAUCCAGGAUUGGGUCAAAGUAGUUGUAUUCCGCAGAUCAGAAUGCAAUCAAGCUUUUGGUCUGUUCUACCCUGAGGUAUUACCUGUUGGGGAACGUAGCAGAAAUUCAAAAUUUUCCUACGUGUCACCAAGAUCUAUCUAUGGAGAGACCAGCAACGAGUAGAAAGAGAGUGCAUAUACAUACCCUUGUAGAUCGCUAAGCGGAAGCGUUCAAGUGAACGGGGUUGAUGGAGUCGUACUCGUCGUGAUUCAAAUCACCGAUGAUCCUAGUGCCGAACGGACGACACCUCCGCGUUCAACACACGUACAGCCCGGUGACGUCUCCCACGCCUUGAUCCAGCAAGGAGAGAGGGAGAGGUUGAGGAAGACUCCAUCCAACAGCAGCACAACGGCGUGGUGGUGGUGGAGGAGCGUGGCAAUCCAGCAGGGCUUCGCCAAGCACCAUGGGAGAGGAGGAGUAGGAAGAGAGGUAGGGCUGUGCCAGAACUUCGUGUUUAGCUCCCAUGCGCCUCCCCUCUAUAUAUAGGGGUGGAGGGGCUGGUUUCUUGCCCUCCAAGUCCAUUGGGGCGUUGGCCAAGGUGGGAGGAAAGAAAUCUCAUUAUUUCCUUCCCCACCGAUUGUUAUCCCCCCUUUUUAGGGAUCUUGAUCUUAUCCCAUCGGGAUAUGAUCUUAUUCCUUCUAAGGGGGAUCUUGGUGCGCCUUGACCAGGGGUGUGGGGCCUUGCCCCCACUACCCACGUCCAUGUGGGUCCCCCCAUGCAGGUGGGCCCCACUCCAGAACCUUCUAGAACCUUCCCGGUACAAUACCGAAAAAUCCCGAACAUUUUCCGGUGGCCAAAAUAGGACUUCCCAUAUAUAUAUCUUUACCUCCGGACCAUUCCGGAACUCCUCGUGACGUCCGGGAUCUCAUCCGGGACUCCGAACAACAUUCGGUAACCACAUACAAACUUCCUUUAUAACCCUAGCGUCAUCGAACCUUAAGUGUGUAGACCCUACGGGUUCGGGAGACAUGUAGACAUGACCGAGACGUUCUCCGGUCAAUAACCAACAGCGCGAUCUGGAUACCCAUGAUGGCUCCCACAUGUUCCACGAUGAUCUCAUCGGAUGAACCAUGAUGUCAAGGACUUAAUCAAUCCCGUAUUCAAUUCCCUUUGUCUAUCGGUAUGUUACUUGCCCGAGAUUCGAUCGUCGGUAUCCAAUACCUUGUUCAAUCUCGUUACCGGCAAGUCACUUUACUCGUUCCGUAACACAUCAUCCCGUGAUCAACUCCUUGGUCACAUUGCGCAUAUGAUGAUGUCCUACCGAGUGGGCCCAGAGAUACCUCUCCGUUUACACGGAGUGACAAAUCCCAGUCUCGAUCCGCAUAAAACAAUAGAUACUUUCGGAGAUACCUGUAGUGCACCUUUAUAGUCACCCAGUUACGUUGUGACGUUUGAUACACCCAAAGCACUCCUACGGUAUCCAGGAUUUACACGCACUCAUGGUCGAAGGAAGAGAUACUUGACAUUGGCAAAGCUCUAGCAAAUGAACUACACGAUCUUUUGUGCUAGUCUUAGGAUUGGGUCUUGUCCAUCACAUCAUUCUCCUAAUGAUGUGAUCCCGUUAUCAACGACAUCCAAUGUCCAUAGCCAGGAAACCAUGACUAUCUGUUGAUCACAACGAGCUAGUCAACUAGAGGCUCACUAGGGACAUAUUGUGGUCUAUGUAUUCACACGUGUAUUACGAUUUCCGGAUAAUACAGUUAUAGCAUGAAUAAAAGACAAUUAUCAUGAACAAGGAAAUAUAAUAAUAAUACUUUUAUUAUUGCCUCUAGGGCAUAUUUCCAACAGUCUCCCACUUGCACUAGAGUCAAUAAUCUAGUUCACAUCGCCAUGUGAUUAACACUCACAGGUCACAUCGCCAUGUGACUAAUACCCAAGAGUUUACUAGAGUCAGUAGUCUAGUUCACAUCACUAUGUGAUUAACACUCAAUGAGUUUUAUGUUUGAUCAUGUUGCUUGUGAGAGAGGUUUUAGUCAACGGGUCUGAACCUUUCAGAUCCGUGUGUGCUUUACAAAUCUCUAUGUCAUCUCCUAGAUGCAGCUACCACGCUCUAUUUGGAGCUAUUCCAAACAACUGUUCUACUUGGAGCUAUUCUAAAUUAUUGCUCCAUUAUAUGUAUCCGGUCUCUCUACUCAGAGCUAUCUGGAUAGGUGUCAAGCUUGCAUCGUCGUAACCUUUAUGACGAACUCUUUUACCACCUCCAUAAUCGAGAAAAUUCCUUAGUCCACUAGUUACUAAGGAUAACUUUGAUCGCUGUCCUGUGAGCCAUUCUUGGAUCACUCUUGUACCCCUUGACUGACUCAUGGCAAGGCACACUUCAGGUGCGGUACACAGCAUAGCAUACUGAAGAGCCUACGUCUUAAGCAUAGGGGACGACCUUCGUCCUUUCUCUCUAUUCUGCCGUGGUCGAGCUUUAAGUCUUAACUUCGUACCUUACAACUCAGGCAAGAACUCCUUCUUUGACUGGUCCAUCUUGAACACCUUCAAGAUCAUGUCAAGGUAUGUGCUCAUUUGAAAUUAUUAUUAAGCAUUUUGAUCUAUCCUUAUAGAUCUUGAUGCUCAAUGUUCAAGUAGCUUAAUCCAGGCUUUCCAUUGAAAAACACUUUCAAAAUAACCCUAUAUGCUUUCCAGAAAUUCUACGUCAUUUCUGAUCAACAAUAUGUCAACAACAUAUACUCAUCAGAAAUUCUAUAGUGCUCCCACUCACUUCUUUGGAAAUACAAGUUUCUCAUAAACUUUGUACAAACCCAAAAUUUUUGAUCAUCAUCAAAGCAUACAUUCCAACUCCGAGAUGCUCACUCCAGUCGUUAGAAGGAUUGCUGGAGAUUUGCAUACUUAUUAGCAUCUUUCGGGAUUGACAAAACCUUCCGGUUGUAUCACAUACAACCUUUCCUCAUUAAAAUCGUCGAGGAAACAAUGUUUUGACAUCCUAUCUGCAAGAUUUCAUAAAUAAUGCAGUAAUCGCUAAUAUAAUUCCAACAGACUCUUAGCAUCGCUACGAGUGAGAAAAUCUCAUCGUAGUCAACUCCUUGAACUUGUCGGAAAACAUCUUAAUGACAAGUCGAGCUUUCUUAAUGGUGACAUUUACCAUCAUUGUCCGUCUUCCUUUUGAAAUCCAUCUGUACUCAUUAGCCUUACGACCAUCGAGCCGUUCUGCCAAAGUCUACACUUUGUUUUCAUACAUGGAUCCUCUCUCGGAUUUUAUGGCCUCAAGCCAUUUAUCGGAAUCCGGGCCCACCAUCGCUUCUCCAUAGCUCGUAGGUUCAUUGUUGUCUAGCAACAUGACCUUCAAGACAGGAUUAUGUACCACUCUGAAGUAGUACGCAUCCUUGUCAUCCUACGAGGUUUGGGAGUGACUUGAUCUGAAGUUUCAUGAUCAAUAUCAUAAGCUUCCACUUCAAUUGGUGUAGGUGCCACAGGAACAACUCCCUGUGCCCUGUCACACACUAGUUGAAGAGACGGUUCAAUAACCUCAUCAAGUCUCCACCAUCCUCCCACUCAAUUCUUUCGAGAGAAACUUUUCCUCGAGAAAGGACCCGAUUCUAGAAACAAUCCAUAUUGCUUUCGGAUCUGAAUUAGGAGGUAUACCCAACUGUUUUGGGUUUCCUAUGAAGAUGCAUUUUAUCCGCUUUGGGUUCGAGCUUAUCAACCUGAAACUUUUCAUAUAAGCGUCGCAGCCCCAAACUUUUAAGAAACGACAACUUAGGUUUCUCUAAACCAUAAUUCAUAUGGUGUCAUCUCAUCGGAAUUACGUGGUGCCCUAUUUAAAGUGAAUGUGGUUGUCUCUAAUGCCUAACCCAUGAACGAUAGUGGUAAUUCGAUAAGAGACAUCAUGGUACGCACCAUAUCCAAUAGGGUGCAACUAUGAUGUUCGGACACACCAUCACAUUAUGGUGUUCCAGGCGGUAUUAAUUGCAAAACAAUUUCCACAAUGUCUUAAUUGUGUGCCAAAACUCGUAACUCAGAUAUUCAUCUCUAUGAUCAUAUCAUAGACAUUUUAUCCUCUUGUCACAAUGAUCUGCUACUUCACUCUGAAAUUACUUGAACCAUUCAAUAAUUCAGACUUGUGUUUCAUCAAGUAAAUAUACUCAACAUUUACUCGAAUCAUCCGUGAAGUAAGAACAUAAUGAUAUUCACUGCAUGCCUCAGCACUCAUUCGACUGCACACAUCAAAAUGUGUUACUUCCAACAAGUUGCUAUCUUGUUCCAUCUUACUGAAAAUGAGGCUUUUCAGUCAUCUUGCCCAUGUGGUAUGAUUUGCAUAUCUCAAGUGAUUCAAAAUCAAGUGAGUCCGAACGAUCCAUUUGCAUGGAGUUUCUUCAUGCAUAUACACCAAUAGACAUGGUUCGCAUGUCUCAAACUUUUCAAAAACGAGUGAGUCCAAAGAUCCAUCAACAUGGAGCUUCUUCAUGCGUUUUAUACCAUUAUGACUUACAUGGCAGUGCCACAAGUAAGUGGUACUAUCAUUACUAUCUUAUAUCUUUUGGCAUGAAAAUGUGUAUCACUACGACCGAGAUUCAAUAAACCAUUCCUUUAGGUGCAAGACCAUUGAAGGUAUUAUUCAAAAAUAGAGUAACCAUUUUUCUCCUUAAAUGAAUAACCGUAUUGUGAUAGACAUAAUCCAAUCAUGUCUAUGCUCAACGCAAACACCAAUCUUGGUGGUAGAGGGAGCGUGCGAUGCUUGAUCAUAUCAACCUUGGAAACACUUCCAACAUAUAUCGUCAGCUCACCUUUAGCUAGUCUCCGUUUAUUCCGUAGCUUUUAUUUCGAGUUACUAACACUUAGCAACCGAACCGGUAUCCAAUACCCUGGUGCUACUAGGAGUACUAGUAAAGUACACAUUAACAUAAUGUAUAUCCAAUAUACUUCUAUCGACCUUGCCAGCCUUCUCAUCUACCAAGUAUCUAGGGUAAUGCUGCUCCAGUGGUUGUUCCCCUUAUUACAGAAGCACUUAGUCUCGGGUUUGGGUUCAACCUUGGGUUUCUUCACUAGAGCAGCAGCUGAAUUGCCGUUUCAUGAAGUAUCCCUUUGUUCCCUUGCCCUUCUUGAAACUAGUGGUUUCACCAACCAUCAACAAUUGAUGCUCCUUCUUGAUUUCUACUUUCGCGUUGUCAAACAUCAUGAAUAUUUCAAGGAUCAUCAUAUCUAUCCCUGAUAUGUUAUAGUUAAUCACGAAGCUCUAGCAGCUUGGUGGCAAUGACUUUGGGGAAACAUCACUAUCUCAUCUGGAGGAUCAACUCCCACUCGAUUCAAGUGAUUGUUGUGCUCAGACAAUCUGAGCACAAGCUCAACGAUUGAGCUUUUCUCCCUUAGUUUGCAGGCUAAGAAAAUCGUCGGAGGUCUUAUACCUCUUGACGUGGGCACGAGCCUGAAAUCCCAAUUUCAGCCCUCGAAACAUCUCAUAUGUUCCGCGACGUUUCGAAAACGUCUUUGGUGCCUCUACUUAAACCAUUUAAUUGAACUAUCACGUAGUUAUCAAAACGUGUAUGUCCGAUGUUCGCAACAUCGACAAACGACAUUGGGGUUCAGCACACUGAGCGGUGCAUUAAGGACAUAAGCUUUCUACUGAUCGCAUAAUCGCUACUAUCAACUUUCAACUAUAUUUUCUCUAGGAACUGUAGCAACGGUGCACAGUUAGGGGAGAACACUUCUUGAAAUUUUGUAAGGGAUCAUCUUAUUUACUACCGUCGUCCUAAGCAAACAAGAUGCAUAAACAUGAUAAACAUCACAUGCAAUCAAAUAGUGACAUGAUAUGGCCAAUAUCAUUUUGCUCCUUUUGAUCUUCAUCUUCGGGGCUCCAUGAUCAUCAUCGUCACCGGCACGACACCAUGAUCUCCAUCAUCAUGAUCUCCAUCAUCGUGUCUUCAUGAAGUUGUCACGCCAACGACUACUUCUACUUCUAUGACUAACGCGUUUAGCAAUAAAGUAAAGUAGUUUACAUGGCGUUCUUCAAUGACACGCAGGUCAUACAAUAAAUAAAGACAACUCCUAUGGCUCCUGCCGGUUGUCAUACUCAUCGACAUGCAAGUCGUGAAUCCUAUUACAAGAAUAUGAUCAAUCUCAUACAUCACAUAUCAUUCAUCACAUUCUUCUUGGCCAUAUCACAUCACAUAGCAUACCCUGCAAAAACAAGUUAGACGUCCUCUAAUUGUUGUUGCAUGUUUUACGUGGCUGCUAUGGGUUUCUAGCAAGAACGUUUCUUACCUAUGCAAGACCACAACGUGAUAUGCCAAUUGCUAUUUACCCUUCAUAAGGACCCUUUUCAUCGAAUCCGUUCCGACUAAAGUGGGAGAGACUGGCACCCGCUAGCCACCUUAUGCACCAAGUGCAUGUCAAUCGGUGGAACCUGUCUCACGUAAGAGUACGUGUAAGGUCGCUCCGGGCCGCUUCAUCCCACAAUACCGUCGAAACAAGAUUGGACUAGUAACGGUAAGCAUAUUGAACAACAUCAACGCCCACAACUACUUUGUGUUCUACUCGUGCAAAGAAUCUACGCAAUAGACCUAGCUCAUGAUGCCACUGUUGGGGAACGUAGCAGAAAUUCAAAAUUUUCCUACGUGUCACCAAGAUCUAUCUAUGGAGAGACCAGCAACGAGUAGAAAGAGAGUGCAUCUACAUACCCUUGUAGAUCGCUAAGCGGAAGCAUUCAAGUGAAUGGGGUUGAUGGAGUCGUACUCAUCGUGAUUCAAAUCACCGAUGAUCCUAGUGCCGAACGGACGGCACCUCCGCGUUCAACACACGUACAGCCCGGUGACGUCUCCCACGCCUUGAUCCAGCAAGGAGAGAGGGAGAGGUUGAGGAAGACUCCAUCCAACAGCAGCACAACGGCGUGGUGGUGGUGGAGGAGCGUGGCAAUCCAGCAGGGCUUCGCCAAGCACCAUGGGAGAGGAGGAGUAGGGAGAGAGGUAGGGCUGUGCCAGAACUUCGUGUGUAGCUCCCAUGCGCCUCCCCACUAUAUAUAGGGGUGGAGGGGCUGGUUUCUUGCCCUCCAAGUCCAUUGGGGCGUUGGCCAAGGUGGGAGGAAAGAAAUCUCAUUAUUUCCUUCCCCACCGAUUGUUAUCCCCCCUUUUUAGGGAUCUUGAUCUUAUCCCUUCGGGAUAUGAUCUUAUUCCUUCUAAGGGGGGAUCUUGGUGCGCCUUGACCAGGGGUGUGGGGCCUUGCCCCCACUACCCACGUCCAUGUGGGUCCCCCCAUGCAGGUGGGCCCCACUCCGGAACCUUCUAGAACCUUCCCGGUACAAUACCAAAAAAUCCUGAACAUUUUCCGAUGGCCAAAAUAGGACUUCCCAUAUAUAAAUCUUUACCUCCGGACCAUUCCGGAACUCCUCGUGACGUCCGGGAUCUCAUCCGGGACUCCGAACAACAUUCGGUAACCACAUACAAACUUCCUUUAUAACCCUAGCGUCAUCGAACCUUAAGUGUGUAGACCCUACGGGUUCGGGAGACAUGUAGACAUGACCGAGACGUUCUCCGGUCAAUAACCAACAGCGGGAUCUGGAUACCCAUGAUGGCUCCCACAUGUUCCACGAUGAUCUCAUCGGAUGAACCACGAUGUCAAGGACUUAAUCAAUCCCGUAUUCAAUUCCCUUUGUCUAUCGGUAUGUUACUUGCCCGAGAUUCGAUCGUCGGUAUCCAAUACCUUGUUCAAUCUCGUUACCGGCAAGUCACUUUACUCGUUCCGUAACACAUCAUCCCGUGAUCAACUCCUUGGUCACGUUGCGCAUAUGAUGAUGUCCUACCGAGUGGGCCUAGAGAUACCUCUCCGUUUACACAGAGUUUCUUCAUCUUGCCCACAUGGUUCGCAUGUCUCAAACUUUUCAAAAACGAGUGAGUCCAAAGAUCCAUCAACAUGGAGCUUCUUCAUGCGUUUUAUACCAUUAUGACUUACAUGGCAGUGCCACAAGUAAGUGGUACUAUCAUUACUAUCUUAUAUCUUUUGGCAUGAAAAUGUGUAUCACUACGACCGAGAUUCAAUAAACCAUUCCUUUAGGUGCAAGACCAUUGAAGGUAUUAUUCAAAAAUAGAGUAACCAUUAUUCUCCUUAAAUGAAUAACUGUAUUGCGAUAGACAUAAUCCAAUCAUGUCUAUGCUCAACGCAAACACCAAUCUCGGUGGUAGAGGGAGCGUGCGAUGCUUGAUCAUAUCAACCUUGGAAACACUUCCAACAUAUAUCGUCAGCUCACCUUUAGCUAGUCUCCAUUUAUUCCGUAGCUUUUAUUUCGAGUUACUAACACUUAGCAACCGAACCGGUAUCCAAUACCCUGGUGCUACUAGGAGUACUAGUAAAGUACACAUUAACAUAAUGUAUAUCCAAUAUACUUCUAUCGACCUUGCCAGCCUUCUCAUCUACCAAGUAUCUAGGGUAAUGCUGCUCCAGUGGUUGUUCCCCUUAUUACAGAAGCACUUAGUCUCGGGUUUGGGUUCAACCUUGGGUUUCUUCACUAGAGCAGCAGCUGAAUUGCCGUUUCAUGAAGUAUCCCUUUGUUCCCUUGCCCUUCUUGAAACUAGUGGUUUCACCAACCAUCAACAAUUGAUGCUCCUUCUUGAUUUCUACUUUCGCGGUGUCAAACAUCAUGAAUAUUUCAAGGAUCAUCAUAUCUAUCCCUGAUAUGUUAUAGUUAAUCACGAAGCUCUAGCAGCUUGGUGGCAAUGACUUUGGGGAAACAUCACUAUCUCAUCUGGAGGGUCAACUCCCACUCGAUUCAAGUGAUUGUUGUGCUCAGACAAUCUGAGCACAAGCUCAACGAUUGAGCUUUUCUCCCUUAGUUUGCAGGCUAAGAAAAUCGUCGGAGGUCUUAUACCUCUUGACGUGGGCACGAGCCUGAAAUCCCAAUUUCAGCCCUCGAAACAUCUCAUAUGUUCCGCGAUAUUUCGAAAACGUCUUUGGUGCCUCUACUUAAACCAUUUAAUUGAACUAUCACGUAGUUAUCAAAACGUGUAUGUCCGAUGUUCGCAACAUCGACAAACGACGUUGGGGUUCAGCACACUGAGCGGUGCAUUAAGGACAUAAGCUUUCUACUGAUCGCAUAAUCGCUACUAUCAACUUUCAACUAUAUUUUCUCUAGGAACAUAUCUAAACAGUGGAACUAAAGCGCGAGCUUACGACAUAAUUUGCAAAAGGUCUUUUGACUAUGUUCAGGAUAAUUAAGUUCAUCUUAUGAACUCCCACUUAGAUAGACAUCCCUCUGGUCAUCUAAGUGAUCACAUGAUCCGAGUCAACUAGGCCGUGUCCGAUCAUCACGUGAGACGGACUAGUCAUCAUCGGUGAACAUCUUCAUGUUGAUCGUAUCUACCAUACGACUCAUGCUCGACCUUUCGGUCUCCGUGUUCCGAGGCCAUGUCUGCACAUGCUAGGCUUGUCAAGUUAACCCUAAGUGUUUUUGCUGUGUAAAACUGUCUUACACCCGUUGUAUGUGAACGUAAGAAUCCAUCACACCCGAUCAUCACGUGGUGCUUAGAAGCGACGAACUGUAGCAACGGUGCACAGUUAGGGGAGAACACUUCUUGAAAUUUUGUAAGGGAUCAUCUUAUUUACUACCGUCGUCCUAAGCAAACAAGAUGCAUAAUCAUAAUGAACAUCACAUGCAAUUAUAUAGUUGUGACAUGAUAUGGCCAAUAUCAUAUAGCUCCAUUGAUCUUCAUCUUCGGGGCUCCAUGAUCAUCUUGUCACCGGCUUGACACCAUGAUCUCCAUCAUCAUGAUCUCCAUCAUCGUGUCUUCAUGAAGUUUUCACGCCAACGACUACUUCUACUUCUAUGGCUAACGCGUUUAGCAAUAAAGUAAAGUAAGUUACAUGGCGUUCUUCAAUGACACGUAGGUCAUACAAUAAAUAAAGACAACUCCUAUGGCUCCUGCCGGUUGUCAUACUCAUCGACAUGCAAGUCGUGAAUCCUAUUACAAGAACAUGAUCAAUCUCAUACAUCACAUAUCAUUCAUCACAUUCUUCUUGGCCAUAUCACAUCACAAAGCAUACCCUGCAAAAACAAGUUAGACGUCCUCUAAUUGUUGUUUGCAUGUUUUACGUGGCUGCUAUGGGUUUCUAGCAAGAACAUUUCUUACCUACGCAAAACCACAACGUGAUAUGUCAAUUGCUAUUUACCCUUCAUAAGGACCCUUUUCAUCGAAUCUGUUCCGACUAAAGUGGGAGAGACUGGCACCCGCUAGCCACCUUAUGCACCAAGUGCAUGUCAAUCGGUGGAACCUGUAUCACGUAAGAGUACAUGUAAGGUCGGUCCGGGCCGCUUCAUCCCACAAUACCGUCGAAACAAGAUUGGACUAGUAACGGUAAGCAUAUUGAACAACAUCAACGCCCACAACUACUUUGUGUUCUACUCGUGCAAAGAAUCUACGCAAUAGACCUAGCUCAUGAUGCCACUGUUGGGGAACGUAGCAGAAAUUCAAAAUUUUCCUACGUGUCACCAAGAUCUAUCUAUGGAGAGACUAGCAACGAGUAGAAAGAGAGUGCAUCUACAUACCCUUGUAGAUCGCUAAGCGGAAGCGUUCAAGUGAACGGGGUUGAUGGAGUCAUACUCGUCGUGAUUCAAAUCACCGAUGAUCCUAGUGCCGAACGGACGGCACCUCCGCGUUCAACACACGUACAGCCCGGUGACGUCUCCCACGCCUUGAUCCAGCAAGGAGAGAGGGAGAGGUUGAGGAAGACUCCAUCCAACAGCAGCACAAUGGCGUGGUGGUGGUGGAGGAGCGUGGCAAUCCAGCAGGGCUUCGCCAAGCACCAUGGGAGAGGAGGAGUAGGAAGAGAGGUAGGGCUGUGCCAGAACUUCGUGUUUAGCUCCCAUGCGCCUCCCCACUAUAUAUAGGGGUGGAGGGGCUGGUUUCUUGCCCUCCAAGUCCAUUGGGGCGUUGGCCAAGGUGGGAGGAAAGAAAUCUCAUUAUUUCCUUCCCCACCGAUUGUUAUCCCCCCUUUUUAGGGAUCUUGAUCUUAUUCCUUCUAAGGGGGGAUCUUGGUGCGCCUUGACCAGGGGUGUGGGGCCUUGCCCCCACUACCCACGUCCAUGUGGGUCCCCCCAUGCAGGUGGGCCCCACUCCAGAACCUUCUAGAACCUUCCCGGUACAAUACCGAAAAAUCCCGAACAUUUUCCGGUGGCCAAAAUAGGACUUCCCAUAUAUAAAUCUUUACCUCCGGACCAUUCCGGAACUCCUCGUGACGUCCGGGAUCUCAUCCGGGACUCCGAACAACAUUCGGUAACCACAUACAAACUUCCUUUAUAACCCUAGCGUCAUCGAACCUUAAGUGUGUAGACCCUACGGGUUCGGGAGACAUGUAGACAUGACCGAGACGUUCUCCGGUCAAUAACCAACAGCGGGAUCUGGAUACCCAUGAUGGCUCCCACAUGUUCCACGAUGAUCUCAUCGGAUGAACCACGAUGUCAAGGACUUAAUCAAUCCCGUAUUCAAUUCCAUUUGUCUAUCGGUAUGUUAACGUCGGUAUCCAAUACCUUGUUCAAUCUCGUUACCGGCAAGUCACUUUACUCGUUCCGUAACACAUCAUCCCGUGAUCAACUCCUUGGUCAAAUUGCGCAUAUGAUGAUGUCCUACCGAGUGGGCCCAGAGAUACCUCUCCGUUUACACGGAGUGCCAAAUCCCAGUCUCGAUCCGCAUAAAACAAUAGAUACUUUCGGAGAUACCUGUAGUGCACCUUUAUAGUCACCCAGUUACGUUGUGACGUUUGAUACACCCAAAGCACUCCUACGGUAUCCAGGAGUUACACGCUCUCAUGGUCGAAGGAAGAGAUACUUGACAUUGGCAAAGCUCUAGCAAAUGAACUACACGAUCUUUUGUGCUAGUCUUAGGAUUGGGUCUUGUCCAUCACAUCAUUCUCCUAAUGAUGUGAUCCCGUUAUCAACGACAUCCAAUGUCCAUAGCCAGGAAACCAUGACUAUCUGUUGAUCACAACGAGCUAGUCAACUAGAGGCUCACUAGGGACAUAUUGUGGUCUAUGUAUUCACACGUGUAUUACGAUUUCCGGAUAAUACAGUUAUAGCAUGAAUAAAAGACAAUUAUCAUGAACAAGGAAAUAUAAUAAUAAUACUUUGAUUAUUGCCUCUAGGGCAUAUUUCCAACAUUACCAUCUUUGUAUUGAGAUUGUCAUGGGAAUUGCACACCAUCUUCUGAACCCUUGAUACAGUCAUACUUCUUGCCAUCAUUAUUCAUUUCUCGGUUCCGUGUUGUCGCAACCAGAAUGCCGACAAGUGAAUCAUGAUGUGUGAAAUCAAUACUCCUAUCGACUCUGUUGCUUGGUAGUUAAAUGGACAAUAACCUCAUUCUUAGCGUGUUGGUUAUUGAAUCAUCACCCUAAGGAUUGAUCGUGCUACCUAGUCCUUAUUUCUGGUACACUCUUCGAUCCAUGAGUUAGGAUUGUGUCAAUCCCUCGCUCUUUUGAUCAUAUCGUCUUGCCCUGAAAAGCAAGAUUAUUCUCGAGCUUAGUAGCAUAUCGGUGGUUCAUGAUUUUCUGAAUAUCUUUUCGGAAGUAUCACCAGGUCGUCACUUGACCGCCAUGUUGAGUUCGUGAUCAAGUUGGUUUCUUAUGAACCAUCCCUUCUCCAAGAAUCUGUGUUGGAUACCCCUCAGCUAGUUGGUUAAGCUAAACAACAACUUGGAGAGUUGGAAGAUAAAAGCUUUGUCAAAUCUAGUUCAUUCUAAAGGGAUAUCUUGGUGGUUGUGUGUGUGUUGAAGAAAUAUGAUAUCUUCAUCGAUUGGUCCUCGUGAUUAGUUGUUGGAUCUAUUGUUUUGUCAAAACUUUGAUUUAAGUGUGGGCUAUCCUCAAAUCAAAUCAGAACCAACGAUGUUCGUAAUGUUGUCUUGCUCGUGGAUUUCCCUUGAGCAUACACCAUUAUAUCUUUUGGGUCUGACCAGUGCUAUCACUUGUUCCCAUAAUUAUGGAAUUCCUUAUUCAUGGAAACCUGGAUGAAUUGUUGUUGAGCCCAUCAGCAACAUUUUUAUCUUCUCCAUGAUUUUGUUGAACAUUAAGCUGGUGUUGGAAACUUUUAAAAGCAUCUCCUCAUGCUAGCUCAUGAAGCAUAUGUUCGGAUGUAAGAAGUGACUCUCCAGUUCAUGUGCAUUUGAUGCAAGUUGCCGCCGUGAAUUCGAGAAAGUCAAUGUUGCUUCCUUUAGAAUCAUUCCAAAUCAGUCAUGCAUAGUGCGAAGUAUUCUGUGGUCUGGAGACUUGCAACCUUCAUUCUAUAUGUGUCCCUAGCACACCAAGCCACUGGCUGAUUUGUUCAAGGAGAAGGAGUUCCUUCAUAAGAGCUAAUCAUGACUUAUGUUAGGACUUCAUUAUCCUCAAUGAUGGUUCCCCAACCUGAACUUGGUAGUAUUUUAUUAUAAGACUACCACGUGGUCACGCUUGUCUUGCACAACGUGUUCACAUGUUUGUAGCAAACCAGCUCAUAUUUUGGAGCUUACUACAUAGUCCAUUUCCCGAGGAUCUCGCAACAUCGUCUCGUCGAUUUGUGUUGAAAACUAUCUUUUUCUUUCUAGACUCGAUGAGUUUGGAAUAUCCUGACACCAACCAGCUCUGAAUCUCAGGCAGAUAUGAUGGUUGGAAUGUUUCCCAAGAACUAUAACAUUGGUCUCUGUGUAACCCAGUAAAGUGGAUGUCAUGGCUAACACACCUAGCCGGAAGACCUAUUAUUGUAGUAUCUUGAUUGAAGAAGUUGGCCACAUCCCCAUAAGGAUUUCGCAGGAUUUACCUCCGUAGCUAUUCCUUAUGGAUUCUUGAGUUUCCGAAGUCCGACCUGUUACUUGAUGUUCUAGAUACCAAACCAUUUCAAUGAAUGGGUUACGCUAGCACAUCAAGGAGAACAUUAGAAGCGGAGUGCUAAAUGUCUCUCGGUCAAUCAUCUAGAUUUUGUCCCCUUGGCCUCGCUAAGGUGAAAUCUGAGGAAGUAUUAUCUUCCUUUGCAUCUGCAUCCUCCACCAUUAUCCAUCAUGGUAGUAUGUUGUGUUGCCAGGAUCCUUGUCACGAAUAUUGGUAAAACCUUGAUGAAUAUGGAAAUGCUCAAGUUCUUGAGAGCACGUGCAAGCACUAGGAUUUAUCGUCGGCAUUAAUUGGGUUCCGCUCCCAGUUUCUUCGAUUUUGCCAUAACUUUUCUAACGAUGGAAUCACUCUCUUCUGUUGAGUUUCUCCCAGUUACCAGAAUCAUUCCCAGCAUUAGCAUUUUGUUCCUAGCUUGCACCGCCAUUGUGCCAUUCAACCAUGGACUACCCUUCUUAGUAAUUUCUGGUCAGAUCAUCUUCAAAAGUGGUCCUACCAUGGGUCCCAUCCAUUUUUGAUGAUAAGCAAAAGUCAUACAUUGCGUUGUCUUCAACAAGGUAGUCCACAUCAUCCAUCCUAGUUUGAGUAUGCCAUUUCUUCGAGCUCUUUCAAACGAUCAAAUGUAAAUUGCCUUAAGUUGGUAUGAAUAGUCUCAAUGAUCUAUGGAUCAAAAGUAAUCCUUUUUGCCACUUAAGGGAACAAUCCAACGAAUCACUUCUCCCAAGGUGCCCCGUUACGGGAUCAUGGCAAUUACUUCCUCGCCACCUUGACACCAUCCACCAUCUUUGUAAGCAUGGAAUUGUUGCCCACCAAAUCGAACCUCCGUCAUCUGUUCCACUGUCCGGACCCCGAUUCCAAGUCACAUCAAUCUAGCCGGUAACACCUCAUAUCACUUUGCGGCCUCGCACACGAUAUCCCACGGGUGUCGCCUUACCAUGGCCCGGGACCGUUUGCGCCUUUUGGCUCACGUAUAUGAUAGUGUUGCUAGCAUCCAUAUGACAGAGAACCCGGGCCGACAUGGCUAGUCGUGAACCCAACGCGGCACAGACCUAUGGAGACAGGCAUACAUGAAUCACAUCGAGCAUGUCGGUCAUCAGCGAGUGAUUCCGUGCUAUAGCACUGGGCUAACAGGACUCCGGAUGUCACCGCGUGACAUUUCCCCGAAGGGACAGACAUAGGAACGACGUGAAACACAUGCCGGCCAGUCAAGUGUCCUGAGCAGUAGUGCUGGGCUAGUAGGACUCCGGUGAACCGGGCUGUAGCGGACUACUAUGGCUCGAGGAACACUAGACUACAUUUCCCCAUAAGAAAGGCUGCCAAGGAUAAACAACUAGAUUGUCGGAUCCCACUCAUACCAAGCAUUUCAAUCAUACAUACAAUAUGCCCGAUAUGAGUACAUACAACAUGGCGUCACAACAAAACUCUACAACUCAAGUACUUUAUUUAAAGGCUCCAGAGAGCCAUACAUAACAUGUUCAUACAGAUAGGGGUCACAUGACCCGACACUCAAGUCAUACAAUCAUACAAGCACAUGCGGAAGCAACUAGUCUGAGUACAGACACUAGAAAGAAAGAAGGCUUCUCAAAGCCUGUCUAUCUACAUAGGGCCCUCCAUGGCCAGGAUCACCACCUGGGUGGCUAGUCACUCGUCGACGUCAAGGUCUACGUAGAACCCAUCGGAGGGGGCGGUGUUGUCGUCUGAAAACAGUAAUUAAGCAAACAUGAGUACAAAGGUACUCAGCAAGUCUUACAACAGAACCUACUAUACAUGCUCAUUCUCAAGAAGGUGGUGGGGUUGUUGCAGCAAGCCAGCUUUGACUCUUGGCUAAGCUAUCCUAUGGAACUCCACUAGUAAAUAGUUUUCGCACACGAGUCCACUACUCACCAACACAAUACUCCACCGGGGAUCCUCUCUCGUCAUCCUACGAGAGGGCCAUCCUCGGUACUCACACUUAUCUUGAGUCUUCUAGUAGUAACCAUUAACUUGUCUAUGAACUGUAUAGGCAACCAAGUAGUCCUUUACCGCGGACGCGGCUAUUCGAAUAGUUUUAUACCUUGCAGGGGUGUACUUCGUCACACAUGUUUCCACCACUUAGCGUCUGCACACGACAUGUGCUCGGCAGACUUCAAGCGAAAACCGACGUGGGUGUAGACCACGACCUGACUAACCUCACAAGUCUCUAGUCCAGGUUUAUCGCCUAUUCAGGUUCCAUCCGCAAGGAAAUCCGGCCGGGGUGUCCUCAACGGCCCCAAACGAUGUGUACAGAGUCCCAAGACGCCAAACGGGCACCCGGCAUACCCGGCCACAGUGUAUCUACCGCAUCAUAGCCCACCCCUAGGGUCAGCGCUACGCACGGCCGCCAACACAUAACCUACAAACACCAGAAACUAGUUGCAACUCUUGGACAGAGGGAGAGAGGGGUCAGUAAGUCAAGCGGGGUCAUAUUUUAGGGCCCAAUGUGUGGUAGUAGCUGAAUCUUAAAUCGCGCAUAUAGAUCUCAGUUCUUAUGGACGGUCUUAAUGAAACAACCCACCAUGUACUCCUACAUGGCCUCUCAUCGAUACCUUUACCAAACCAUGUUCAACACAUCCCUCACAUUACCGACAUAAUCAUAUCACUCUAGCCCAUCACCCAGAUGAACCAGACCUGACACAACUCUAAGCAUAGCAGGCAUAGCAAGGUAGGAAUCACAUACAUGGCUCAAUCAACUCCUACACAUGCUAGUGGGUUUCAUCUAGUUACUAUGGCAAUGACAGGUCAUGCAGAGGAUAAGGGUUCAACUACCGUAGCACACAGCAGUUUGAAUCGCAUUGUCUUAAUGCAGUAAACAAGAGCAGAAGCGAGAACAUGGGUUUGUAUCGGAAUGAUCAAUGGGUUGCUUUCCUGUUGUAGAGGUAGUAGGGUACUGCCCUUCAGACGAAUACUCGGGGUUAUCCUCGGAGGCAGAACCUACCACGAAAGACACACUGAACAUAAUCAACACAUGGCAAUAUGCAACAAUAUGAUGCAUGCUAUGACAUGGCAAGAUGAAAGUGUCUUGGCCUAAUGCAAGCUAAAACAGAAGGGGAUGAACUCAUUUGAAUCAAAGAUUCAAAUAUUAGCUCAUUAAACAUGGCCUUAUUAGUGCAUUACCUUAUUCUGCUUAAACAGCAAGGUUAACUUGUUUUGUCAUGCAUGAAACCAUUACAGAUGGAUAGAUUGAAUUUUUCUGAUCAUUUUUCAUAUAUAAAUCUUUGCAAUUGGAGCUAUGGUUGAUUUUCUAUGAUUUUUAGAAGUUUUGGAUAUUUUCUGGAAUUUCCUAUAUAAGAAUAAUUCCAGUAAUUGAAUUAAUGCGUUAGCAUGACAUAGGUGUGAUGUCAGCGGUCAACUGGGUCUGCCAGGUCAAACCUGACUGGUGGGCCCUCUCUGUCAGUGUCACAACUAGUUAACAGAAUUAGAUUAACACUAAUUAGCUGUCAGUGGGGCCUGGGCCCACAUGUCAGUGUCUAAACUAAUUGGAAUUAGUUAAAACUAAUCUUAAACUGAUUAGCAGACCGGCCCCACCUGUCAUAGACCCAGGGGGUCUACCUAGGCCCGCACAGGGAUCAAACUGAGUCAAACUCGCCGGCGGCUUGACGCCGGCGACGACAGACGCGACGGAGGGGCUCGGCUUUGCGUCUCCGGCGACCAAAUCGACGGCAGAGAGCAGCUACGUGACGUGGGGAGCGAGCCGCGUCGUUUGGUGGAGAAAGUGGAGCUCGGGGAGGCUUGGAACGAUGCCGGCGACGACCUUGGCGGUCGCCGGAGUUCAGGUGUGGAUGAACCCGAUGCUACGGGGCACGGCGAGGCGCGGGGAGUGGUGCGUUAGGCUCCUGGGAGCGCGUGGAAGACAAAGGCGUGCUCAGAUUCGAGCUUACGCGCCUGUGGCCACAGUAGCGACAUGGCCGGCAGAGCCGAGCUCUCGGCCUCGAUGGCAGAGGGGGUUGGAGGACGCGGACGAGUGCGGGGAAAGGGGGAAAUGGUGGCGGAGCUCACAGCGGUUGCAGGGGAGCGAUCGGCGAGCUCGGGGAAGGGAUGGAGCGAGCGGGGCGGCGAGGGGGAUCUCCGGUGGCCGGAGUUGAGAACGAGCUCGGUGUAGCGUCUCCGGGGCGAGCGAGCACACGGGGCUCGGCCUACUUGAUGCAGUCGACGACGGCGGAGCUUCCUGGCAUGUCGGGGCAGCAAAUGGACGGCGGUGGCUGCGGUGAAGCUUGUCGGUGGCGACGCCUGCGCUCGGCAGGAAGGGGGGAGAGAGCCAGAGAGGGAGAGAGGCCACGGGGAGAGUGGGAAGAAAGAGAGGGGGAGGUGGGGGUCGGCGUGGCACUCCUAGACGCCUCCAGGGCGUCGGCGGAAGCAGGAGGUGCCCGGCGUGUGGUCGCGGGCGCCGGCCACGCGCUCCUCGUCCUCCUGGCGGGAGGAGGACGACUGGCAAGGCCAGUCGACUGGGCCGAGCCAGGUGGGCUAGUGGGCUGCGCCUGGUAAGUUUCUCUCUCUCUCCUUUUUCUUCUUUGUUUUCUUUUAUCUAUUUUUCUGCAACUGUUGGGCUUUAUUAAAAAUACCUAGACAUCUUUAAAAAUCCUGAAAAUAAUCAGGGGCUCUGUUUAGAUUAUUCCCAACAGCCCACACUUAUUUCCAGAAUUAUUUGAGCAUUUAGAUUAUUUUAUAGCAUUUAAAUGCCCAAAUUCAAAUACUUAUGAUUUAAUUCAGAAAAUCCAGAAUGUCCUAGAAAAGAGUGCACCAUUUUUGCCAGGGGUUUUAGCCCAAUCCAGAAAUGAUGAACAUUUUGUGAAGGGCAUUUUGGGUUCAUUGAAAAUAAUUUAAGUAAACCCUAGUUGUUUCCAGGGGUGCUGGGGGUUCUGUCUUCCCCAUUUCAAAUUUAAGGGAAUUUAAAUAUGAUGCACACUCUAAUGCUUGAACUAGCUAGGGUGUGACAUCCACUCCAUUCCUCUAGAUAUGUGCUUCGUGUCUCAGCUCGAGAGAUGUUCUUAUGACUCACCCCGUGAGUUGAUCCUAAGUUGUUUGAUCUUCGAGAAGAUCGAUCCUCUUAGAGUUUUUCCCUUUCCUCUCUUUGUCAUGUUAGUUGGAUUUCUCAGAGCAAUACUUCGAGACAAUGAGGGUGAUCGAAUCAAAAAUCUUAUGAAGUGCACCCUGGAUCGUGAAGAUUGUGUUAGUUUGCGUUUUCCCCUUCCAUCUUACCCUAGGCUUGAAUCUCGGGACGAGAUUCUUGUUUAGUGGGGGUGAGUUGUCACAUCCCUAGUUCUUGUAUGACCUAGACUAGCUAGUCAUGCGUGCAUCAUGUUUAAAUUUCAAUGAAUUUGAAACGGGGACAUGUGAAAGCCUCAGAAAUCAUUUCUGAAAAUGACCAAGAUAAAAAUUUCUUCAAAUAGGUCCAAGAAAAUGUUCAUGUUUCUCCUUGAAAAUAUUGGCUAGAGGUAAAAUUCAAACCAAUAAUUUUAGGAGCUCAUAAAUAUUUAUGUUGGGCAUUUGGAGUUAAUGCAACAACUAUUUUGCAUUGGAUUUAUAUUUGCUAUAUAUUUAAAAUAAGUCCAAUAAUUCUGUAAAUUUGUGUGGGGCUCUGGAAUAGCUCAACUAGCCCACACAAUAUUUAUCAGAAGCAGUAAAUUUGAUUUAGUUUGAAAACUAAAUCAAAAACAAAUUACAGAAAAUAUAAAACAAACAGAAAAUAUAAAACAGAGCAGAAGGACUUACCUCCACCCACCUACGGCCCGCUACUGUAGCCUGCUGGCAGCCCAGCUGGCGGCCCAGCCCACCAGCGCCCCCUUGUCAUCUUCCUCCUCUGCCAGGAGGACAACCAGGUGCGUGGCGAGCGCCGACGCUGCUCUGGCCACCUCCUGCUUCCCUGGCCCCUUCUAGCGACGCCAUGGAGAUGCCCCGAAGACCCUGUCCCCUCUCCCUCACUCGCCGCUCUCUCUCCCCUCCCCUGGCUCUCUCCCUUUAGCUCACCCGAGCAAAGCCGUCGUCGCCGACUAGCGCUCGCGCGUCCACAGCCACCCCCUUGCUCCCCUGACGCGUCCGAGAGCUCUGCCACGUCGUCCUCAUCUUCUUCACCGAGUCACAGGAGCUGGGUCGCCCUGUGAUGCCGCCAACAUCAUCUUCUUCCUCGCUGGUCGCUGGAGAUCCUCCUUGCCGCCCCGACUGCUCCGGACCGUCUCCGAGCUCGCUGACCUCCUCGUCCGACUCGCCGUGAGCUUCUGACCCUGCCCAUCCCUCUCUUCUUCCCUGUAGGCCUCCGUAGCCACCAGACCGCCUACGCCUGAACCCGCCGCCACCUGCGCUCGCCGCCGACGCAACUUCGGCGACCAAAUGGUCCGCCUGACGCGUCCAACCCACUCACCGCAUCGCAUAGGCCCCCGCUAGCACCUCAGCUCGCUAGCUCGCGCACUGCAGCACUGCCCGCACCCACGCCCGAACUCCGGUGGCUGCAACCGAGCUCGCUGUCGUCGGCUCCGGCCACCAUAGGCCCGGUCUCCACCAUCACCCGAUGGGCGCCUGCAAGAGCUCUCCAACGAGCCCAAGAACGGCCUCGUCUGUGCCGUGUGGGCGUUUCCCGAGCUCCGCCGCCGUCUCGGGCCUCGCCGGCGUUGAGUCAUCGGCAGGUUUGUCCUGUUCGACCGGGGUUUGACCUCCCUAGGGUCAACACACGUGGGCCCCGCCCUGACUAGAUUAGUUUAGGACUAAUUACCUCCCCGCUGACUCUCACAGUGGGCCCAGUGGUUGUUAAUUUGAUUAGUUAGAUUUAAUUAACCCCGUUUGUUAAUUCUGUCACUGAUGUGUCGACCCCACUGGUCAGGUCUGACCUGGACCGGGUCAGUUGACCUGCUGCAUCACAAUGACGUAGUGCAGACGCCAUAACUCAUUUUCUGGAUUAAUUAUAAUUCAAAAAAUUCCAGAAAAUAGUUAAAACUUCUAAAAUUCAUAGUAAAUCAACCGUAGCUCCAAAUCAAAUAAAUUAUAUAUGAAAAAUGAUCAGAAAAAUCCAAUCUAUCCAUCUGUACUAGUUUCAUGCAUGUUGGAACAACUUAUGGCUGCUGUUUAGGCCAAAUCAUAUAAAUGGCAUUUAAACCCUCACAUAUGGAGUUUGAAUUUGAACCUAAGAUUCAAACCAACUCCAUUUAACAUGUUCCUAGUUACAUUAGAUCAAAACAUAGCAUAUUGACAUGCCAUGAUCAUGCAUCAUAUUGUGCAUUGCAUUGAUUGUGUUUUCCUUCUCUGUUGCCGGUAUUUGUCCCCUCUCGAUAGACGUGGUUCCGACGAUGAGUUCGAUGACACUGAUGAAGAGAUAUACUAUCUUCGGAAGUGCCAGGCAAGCAAAAAACCCUUGUUCAUUCUGAUACAAUGCCACUCUCUCACUCCUGCUCUCUUUUACUGCAUUAGGACAACAAUGAUUCAUCUGUUACUUGCUGCGGUAGUUGAACCCCUUAUCCUCUGCAUGACCUGUCAUUUCCACAGUAAAUGGAUGAAUCCCACUAGCAUGAGUAGGAGUUGUUUGAGCCCUGAUGUGCCUACUCAUUCAUGCUUGUUUGUCAUGCCUGCUAUUGCUUAGAGUUGUGUCAGGUCUGAUUCAUCGGGGAUGAAUUGGAAAGUUGUGAACAUGUCCUACUGUGUGUGAGCUAAGUGUGUUGAACACGAUUUGGUAAAGGUAUCGAUGAGAGGCCAUGUAGGAGUACAUGGUGGGUUGUUUCAUUGAAGCCGUCCUUAGGAACUGAGUUCUGUGUUUCUGAUCCAUGAAACAACUACUACCACACAUUGGGCCCUGAAAUAUGACCCCGCUCGACUUACUGACCCCUCUCGUCCUUUGUCCAGGAGUUGCAACUAGUUUCUGGUGUUUAUAGGAUAUGUGUUGGCGGCCGUGCGUAGCACUGACCCUAGGGGUGGGCUAUGAUGCGGUAGAUACACCAUGGCACGGUGUACCGGGCGCCCAUUUGGUGUCUCGGGAACCCUGCACACAUCGUUUGGGGCUGUGAGCGAAACUCCGGCCGGAUCUCCUCGCGGAUGGAACCCGAAUAGGCGAUAAAGCUGCACUAGAGACUUGUGCGGUUAGUCAGGUCGUGGUCUACACCCACGUCGGUUUUCGCUUGAAGUCUGCCGAGCACAUGUCAUGUGCAGAUGCUAAGUGGUGGAAACAUGUGUGACGAAGUACACCCCUGCAGGGUAUAAAACUAUUCGAAUAGCCGCUUCCGCGGUAAAGGACUUCUGGGUUUCCUAUAACAGUUCAUAGACAAGUGAAAGUGGAUACUCUAAAACUCACAAGAUAAGUGUGAGUGCUAUGGAUGGCCUUCUCGUAGGGAGAUGGGAGCAGAUCCAUAGUGGUGUAUUGAAUGUUGAAUAUGUGGACUCGUGUGCGCCACCUCAAAAGAGUUGCUUGCAGUCGUAGUUCAGGUUAGCCACUGAGUCAAAGCUGGCUUGCUGCAGUUAAACUCCACCACCCCCACCCCCCUUGUUGAUACCGAUGCAUAUGUAGCUAGUUCUGAUGUAAGUCUUGCUGAGUACUUUUGUACUCACAUUUGCUUAAUUUAUGUUUUGUAGAGAGACUUCAGUCUCGCUAGUAGUAUCACGUAGACUUCGACGUUUAGCCUGAUACCUCAGCUACGAUCUUGUGCCCUCGGCAGGAUCUGGUAGAUAGUCAGGCUUCUUAACCUUUUUCAUUUGUAGAUGUCUGUACUCAGACAUGUUAAGCUUCCGCAUGUGCUUGAAUUGUAUGCUAUGAUUCUUGGGUCAUGAGACCCAUGUUUGUAAUAUAUCGCUCCUCAGAGCCUAAUGAAUAAAUACUUGAGUCGUAGAGUUAUGUUGUGAUGCCAUGUUGUAUUUACACAUAUCGAGCAUAUUGUGUGUAUGAUUGAAAUGCUCGGAAUGUGUGGGAUCCGACAAUCUAGUUGUUUAUCCUUGGCAGCCUCUCUUAUGGGGAAAUGUAGUCUAGUGCUUCCAUGAGCCAUAGUAGUCCGCUACAGCCCGGUUCACCGGAGUCCUGCUAGCCCAGCACUACUGCUCGGGACACUUGACUGGCCGGCAUGUGUUUCACUUCGUUCCUAUGUAUGUCCCUUCGGGGAAAUGUCACGUGGUGACUUCCGGAGUCUUGCCUAGCCUGCUACAGCCCGGGUUCCCCGGAGUCCUGUUAGCCCAGUGCUACAGCCCAGAUUCACUCGCUGAUAACCGACAUGCUCGAUGUGAUUCAUGUAUGCAUGUCCCCAUACGUCUGUGCCGCUUUGGUUCACGACUAGCCAUGUCGGCCCGGGUUCUCUCUCAUAUGGAUGCUAGCGACACUAUCAUAUACGUGAGCCAAAAGGCGCAAACGGUCCCGGGCCAUGGUAAGGCGACACCCGUGGGGAUACCGUGCGUGAGGCCGCAAUGUGAUAUGAGGUGUUACCGGCUAGAUCGAUGUGACUUGGAAUCGGGGUCCUGACAAAGGUUGUGGAGGAGCAACUCCACCUUGCUGCUACAAUGUGUACGGC
RNAcentral lists this long non-coding RNA (28857 nucleotides) under Triticum aestivum (bread wheat). RNAcentral describes it as "long non-coding RNA (TAES_LNC006243)". Lineage: Eukaryota; Viridiplantae; Streptophyta; Magnoliopsida; Poales; Poaceae. The record is from RNAcentral.